UCUCCGUUGGUGAACCAGCGGAGGGAUCAUUACCGAGUUUACAACUCCCAAACCCCUGUGAACAUACCAUUUGUUGCCUCGGCGGUGCCUGCUUCGGCAGCCCGCCAGAGGACCCAAACCCUUGAUUUUAUACAGUAUCUUCUGAGUAAAUGAUUAAAUAAAUCAAAGCUUUCAACAACGGAUCUCUUGGUUCUG
RNAcentral lists this unclassified non-coding RNA (195 nucleotides) under plant metagenome. RNAcentral describes it as "partial contains small subunit ribosomal RNA, internal transcribed spacer 1, and 5.8S ribosomal RNA". The record is from RNAcentral.